RNAcentral lists this ribosomal RNA (496 nucleotides) under uncultured bacterium. Its description in RNAcentral is "partial 16S ribosomal RNA". It matches the Rfam family "Bacterial small subunit ribosomal RNA", at positions 29 to 507 of the family's 1533-position model. The record is from RNAcentral.
AUGAACGCUGGCGGCGUGCCUAAUACAUGCAAGUCGAGCGAACAGACGAGGAGCUUGCUCCUCUGACGUUAGCGGCGGACGGGUGAGUAACACGUGGAUAACCUACCUAUAAGACUGGGAUAACUUCGGGAAACCGGAGCUAAUACCGGAUAACAUGUUGAACCGCAUGGUUCAACAGUGAAAGACGGUCUUGCUGUCACUUAUAGAUGGAUCCGCGCCGCAUUAGCUAGUUGGUAAGGUAACGGCUUACCAAGGCAACGAUGCGUAGCCGACCUGAGAGGGUGAUCGGCCACACUGGAACCGAGACACGGUCCAGACUCCUACGGGAGGCAGCAGUAGGGAAACUUCCGCCAUGGGCCAAAGCCUGACGGAGCAACGGCGCGUGAGUGAAGAAGGUCUUCGGAUCGUAAAACUCUGUUAUUAGGGAAGAACAAAUGUGUAAGUAACUAUGCACGUCUUGACGGUACCUAAUCAGAAAGGCACGGCUAACUACGGG